UGGAAGUAAAAGUCGUAACAAGGUCUCCGUUGGUGAACCAGCGGAGGGAUCAUUACAGAGUUUUCUAAACUCCCAACCCUAUGUGAACUUACCUUUGUUGCUUCGGCGGCGGAGGCUACCCUGCGGGAGAAUACCACUUAGUGGUUACCCUGUAGUUUCAGGUACAUCAGCUACCCGGUAGUCAUCCCCGCCGGCGGCCAACUAAACUCUGUUUUCUUUGGAAUUCUGAAUAACAAACUUAAUAAGUUAAAACUUUCAACAACGGAUCUCUUGGUUCUGGCAUCGAUGAAGAACGCAGCGAAAUGCGAUAAGUAAUGUGAAUUGCAGAAUUCAGUGAAUCAUCGAAUCUUUGAACGCACAUUGCGCCCAUUAGCAUUCUAGUGGGCAUGCCUGUUCGAGCGUCAUUUCACCACUUAAGCCUUGUUGCUUAGCGUUGGGAGCCUACGGCACGGCCCGUAGCUCCUUAAAGUGAUUGGCGGAGUUGGUUCUCACUCUAAGCGUAGUAAUUAUAUCUCGCUUCUGUAGUGGUCCCGGCCCCUGCCGUAAAACCCCUUAUACAAAGGUUGACCUCGGAUCAGGUAGGAAUACCCGCUGAACUUAAGCAUAUCAAUAAGCGGAGGAA
Molecule: ribosomal RNA, 622 nt
Filed under: fungal sp. ARIZ B342
Lineage: Eukaryota; Fungi
Description: eukaryotic LSU rRNA
Rfam family: 5.8S ribosomal RNA (bases 251-404)
Source: RNAcentral